UAGUGUUCAAAAAAUUUUCAUCAAUAAUAAUUCCCUUCUGUCCCAAACACUCAUAAAGAGUACUAAAUCUGAUAUUCAAUAAGCAAAAAUAUUUAUUUCCCUUGAUGUGAAAUGAAACUCUUACAGCAAAUCAUUUAUUUAUUUCUAUUAUAUGCUUUAAACUGAAAAGCUUUUGAAUGUUUGAUUUUUCAUGUCUGACUUGGGCCCAAAUCUUCUCCAUCUCGAUCUUAAAAUUUGUCAACUCCUCUAUCUUCUGCAUCAGGCGAACCAGUAUGACAGUUGAUGCAGGCUUGGGAUUUUCCUGCCAAAUUUCUAACAUCUCAAGGCCCUGAUCACCAUAUAAACGUUCAACAGACCUUAAAAAUUGGGUCCGAGACAUUCCUCCAAUUUCUUUAUUGCCUUUGAUUGAUUCCUCCACAUAGCUAGCAGCAGACUUUAACCAACUCAUUAGCAUGUCCAAUUCAUACCUGUCAUCUUCAAUUUUCUGAUCCCAAUUUUGACACCUUCUCUUACAGGGCUGAUAUUCUGCUUUGAAAUAAGGCUUACAUACCCAACGAUUAUUCAAAACAUCUGAUUUAUGUUCUGUUCUAUGAUGAUUAUCAUCUUCUCGAAUGAGAUAAUAACUUGGAGUGCACUGUUCCACGUAAUUGUAUCUUCUUUUUCCUCUUCUUGGUUCAAGUUUUUGCUUUUCAUCUUUGCCCGCUACCUUCCUUGAGAACCCAUCAAUAUUCUCACAGUCAUCCAGAAAUAGAUUGAAGGCAGCCAUGAGUUCAGGAUACUCACCUAUAUGGAUAGCAACUGAUUUUUCUAAUUCAACCUUUUCUAUCCUUUGACUGCUAUAAUUGUAGAAGCACCUCAAGAACUCUACAUAACUCUGGCUAGGCAGUUUCUUGUGAACUUUCCCAAAGAAUGUAAUCACCUGUUUAUGAAAUCCCUCCAUGGGUUUUUCCUCGCUAGAAUUCUCCUCCUGCCAAGCCUUCUCUGUCGAUCCAUCAUCAAUUGGAACAUGAUAUGCCAGUGGUUUUGCUUUGGAAACCGAAAUAAAUCCUGUGUAGAAAUCUUGCAGCAAAUCUUGAUGGUCUGCAAGUAGCGCAGAAACCUCAUUGCAGACAUGAUCCACUUCCCCACAUCUCCUUCUGUAUGAAAUCAAAACCUCUAGCAAGGAUAUGAAAAUACCAUAAUCACGAAUUUGUACCUUGUUCAGAAAAUCUAUGGCCUCUUGAUACUCUUCUUCUGUGAAAUAAUACAAAUUACUUUCAUCUCUCUCCAUCUUCGUCGAUGCGUUUUUACGAUGAAGAAGAAGAAGAGAGGGGAAUAGAGUUUUAGUAGGUGAAAGAAAAAGCGUGUCUACUGUUAUAUAUACCGGCGUUAAUCCUAAACCUGUUGUAGUAGGGAUUCCUAAUCCUGUUGUAAUAGGGAUUCCUAAUCCUGAUAUUUGAAAGCAAUUGCGUUAAUCCUAAUCCUGUUGUAGUAGGGAUUCCUAAUCCUGUUGUAAUAGGGAUUCCUAAUCCUGAUAUUUGAAAGCAAUUGCGUUAAUCCUAAU
RNAcentral lists this unclassified non-coding RNA (1543 nucleotides) under Hevea brasiliensis (rubber tree). Lineage: Eukaryota; Viridiplantae; Streptophyta; Magnoliopsida; Malpighiales; Euphorbiaceae. The record is from RNAcentral.